AGCGAACCUUAAAGGCGUAAUGAAGUGAAGGUCGGCCUUGCGCCAACCGAGGGAGGAUGGGCCGCGUCACGACGCGGCCCCGCACUCCCGGGGCGUCUCGUUCUCAUCGCGAGAAGAGGCGCACCCAGAGCGUACACGCUGGGACCCGAAAGAUGGUGAACUAUGCCUGGUCAGGACGAAGUCAGGGGAAACCCUGAUGGAGGUCCGAAGCGAUUCUGACGUGCAAAUCGAUCGUCGGAACUGGGUAUAGGGGCGAAAGACUAAUCGAACCAUCUAGUAGCUGGUUCCCUCCGAAGUUUCCCUCAGGAUAGCUGGCGCUCGCUUUUGCGAGUCUCAUCUGGUAAAGCGAAUGAUUAGAGGCAUUGGGGUCGAAACGGCCUCAACCUAUUCUCAAACUUUAAAUGGGUGAGAUCUCCGGCUUGCUUGAAUAGUGAAGCCGCGAGAUCGGAUCAGAGUGCCAAGUGGGCCAUUUUUGGUAAGCAGAACUGGCGCUGUNGNNNNANNCAAANUGGGACCCGUCUUGAAACACGGACCAAGGAGUCUAGCAUGUGCGCGAGUCAUUGGACUAGCGAAC
Molecule: ribosomal RNA, 574 nt
Filed under: Thonalmus sp. WIBF041542
Lineage: Eukaryota; Metazoa; Arthropoda; Insecta; Coleoptera; Lycidae
Description: partial large subunit ribosomal RNA
Rfam family: Eukaryotic large subunit ribosomal RNA
Source: RNAcentral